AAGUCGUGCAUUGGGCAUUUACGUAGUAAGCCUUGAAAUAUUCCCAUGCCUCAUAUAAAUUUUCAUCUUCUAAUUGCUUAAAAGAGUUUAGGUCAUUUCGCAGCUU
Small nucleolar RNA from Hibiscus syriacus, 106 nucleotides. Lineage: Eukaryota; Viridiplantae; Streptophyta; Magnoliopsida; Malvales; Malvaceae. The record is from RefSeq and is a predicted model, not a curated record.